This is a non-coding RNA of Amborella trichopoda, 61 nucleotides long. The record is from Rfam. Lineage: Eukaryota; Viridiplantae; Streptophyta; Magnoliopsida; Amborellales; Amborellaceae.
GAGAGUCGGAUGAGGGGAGACCUUCACGUCUGGUUCGGAGGGCAAGAUAUCCCGACCCUAC